Molecule: non-coding RNA, 3814 nt
Organism: Phoenix dactylifera (date palm)
Lineage: Eukaryota; Viridiplantae; Streptophyta; Magnoliopsida; Arecales; Arecaceae
Source: RefSeq, a predicted model, not a curated record
CAGCCUAACGGAGAGGGCGACUCUCCGUCCGUUAGUUCAGGCGGUCCAUCCUCUCAUCUUCCAAUCCGUCCCCCUUCUUGUGAAUGCCUCCCUCUCUGCUGAAAACCUCCUCGCCCGCUUCAGUCGGUUUCGCAUGGCCCCGCCUUUUCGGUGCGACUCCUCUCCUCUCAAUGCCUCCUCCCGAACCCUAGCGCUCUCGCCCUCCUUCGAAACCCUAGAAUAAUUAGGGUUUUUGCUCCUCUUCUGCUUCUCCUCCGCCAUCCAAUCAUGGAGGAAGGAGACGGGAAUCCCGCAAUAAGAAGGUCGUCUUGCGCGUCGGAUACGUGGGAACUAAUUACAGAGGUCUUCAGAUGCAGCGAGAUAACCUGCUUUAUCGACUUUGCGUAGAUGGGCCUUUGCUAAAGCAUUCCAAUCUUGACGUAUAGCAAUUGAAGCAGGGUUGGAAUCUGCCAUCUUUUGGGCUGGUGGGAUCCGUUAUAGUAAUUAGGGAAUGCAGAUCUGCAUAAAAUUGAGUGGGCUAGGAGUAGCCGAGCCGACAGGAGGACCAUGAUUUCAUUGAAGAUGGAGAUCCCUGAACAUGCAUGGAGAGAGAGGAUCCUAUUGGCAUGGUUAUUGCGAAUUAUGUUAAUUCUAGCCUACCCAAUAAUGUCAGUUUUCAGCAUAUUACCAUCUCAAAAGAGUUUUGGUGCAAGAAGAGAAUGCACUGUUCAGAUGUACUCUUAUCUCCUGCCUGCUGAAUUUAUUGGGAUCGGUAGCGACUCCAGCUUUGCUGAAUUCAUGAUCAUUUAUAUCAAUUCAAUAAUAUACUGAAAAGUUUUAAGGGAGAACAUUGUUUCCAUAAGUAAACAGUUCAUUUCAAAUAUAGGAAACAACCUCCAAAGCAAGGCCACAUUAUCAGAAAAACAAGAAUUGCGGAGGAUGUGUUGGCCGCUGAAGUUGCGGAAAAUGAUGAUCUAGAAAGUUCUGAGGUUGUGGAUGCUGCACUCGAUAAAUGUGAAGAACAUCCAAACAUUCAAUGUGACAGUGACUGAUGAAAUGAUCUGCCAGGAAAACAAAAUGAUGAAAUUAGAGACUCAGAGUUCCGUCUUGCUGUUUGUGCAAGAUGGCUUCAUGAGCCAGAUGAAAUGGGUGGACUAAAGUGUCUCACGUCAGAAAGGGCUUUUGCUGCUCAUGUGGACAGCUGCAGACGUCUUCAGGAAAUAAUUUCGUUGAGCUGUCCAUAUGAGGUUGUUGUGGCAAAUUAUCAGUACUAACUAACAUCGGGAUUUACCAGGAUGUUUGACUUGAAAAUCUUUGCCUAUUUUAGAUAUCUGACAAGUGACUUUUAAGCAACCAUAUCAACUAAGCUAUCAGCGAUGAUGGAGUACUAAGCUUUGAAGUAAAUAAGACAAUAUACUGUCAUCUGCAACUGCACCAGUAUAUACUAUAGGCUCUGAAAAGUGGGGACUUUAGCAGCAGUGAAGCGGGGUUGGCUACCAAAAGAUGUCAUAGAGUUAUCUCUGGUGAUGUUUUCUGACAUUCUACCCCUUGCCCCUUCUGAUCCCUGGGGGUGACCGCUACUCUUUUAUAACACGACCUGAAAUGCAAAUAGUGAUCGAGUCCGAAGAAAUCCAGAAAGCAUUUGAUGAGUUCUACUCUUCUAUGAUGUUGCCUCAGUCACCCAACUUCUUGGAUCCAUCCAAAUCCCCAUGGAAGAAAUGGGUGGAUAGUCUAGAUGCAAACAGAAGCAUUUCAGAUAACAGAGCUGGUUGAAGUCAGAGCCGCAUGGAAAGCAUGGAAGAAAAUUUCUCGAAAGCAAAGAAAAUCCUUUUGAGUCACAACUUUGCCUAUACUGAAUCUCCAGUGAGCGUGCAAUGAGGUAUGAUAUCACUCCCACUUUUUCUGAUAUUCUUGCCUCCCUCCUGCACCUUUGACCCUACUGUUGUGUGAACACUGGAAGUAGCUUUGUUGUAUUGUAGGAGAUGCAUGCAUUGUUCCAUGCAUGUGUUGAUAUCCGUUCGUAUUUCUAUGAAGUGUUAGCAUACUUGAUCUUCCAUUCAAUAGGCUGUCAACUGUUAUUUGUUCGUGAUGCUUAGUGAAGUUGAAUAUGUUUUCACAGUAAAUGAAAGUUUUCUCCAAAUAUGAAAUGAUUUUUUCUUCUCUCUUUGAUUCUCCCAGCUGGGUUGAUAUCCCUCGUUACAAACACUAACAUGGUCAAAUCAUGUUGAAACUUCAUCCACCUUUGAUGCUACCUAAUAGCUCUUCCAACCUCACUAUUGAUUUUGAUAUUUAAACCUGUGGCAUUCGCCUGUUAUGCUUGUGACAUCACCAUUGUCUCAUUCAUUCAGAAAGGGGUCUUAAAAUGACUUUUGCUUUGUUCUUCCUCUUCUGUCUAGUCCUUGAUGGCCCCCAAACAUGAGUUCCUAGAGAUGCUGCUCCGCUUUAUCUACCCAAUUUGUUCAAGGUAUUUCAGACGCUUUUGACAAUGUGGAGUCUUAGGGCAUUGUGUCUGUCUGUGCCCCCUUUUCUGUGCCAUAUCUCUUCCAGUGCCAUGAUUUUGUGAUUGACGGAUAACACAAUUUAACUAGACAAUGAUGUCAUCCAGAUACAAGAUGAUACUAGCAUAGUUACAUUAAUAUUGUUGGGGUAAAUUUUCUAUUUUACUGGGUUAAGCUUAAACCUUGCACCUGAGACUUGAAAAUGCCCCCAUAUGGUUUAGCAGGGUGUAGCCUUUGUUAUGGUCAGAACCAUUGGGCUGGGUUACACUUACACCUAACCAGUUUUCAUGUGUUGCAAACCACGUGUUGGUAGGACUAGAGCCUUUUGGCAAAUCCAGCGGCCAUGGCUGAAUUAGAAAGACCCACUCCACUUCCGUUCCACCACCUGCCAUUUAGCUGGCCCGUUACUCAUUCUUCGUGAAUAAAAGGUUUAAAAAAUACAAUCCCCUUUGUCUCAAAGUUGAAAUGAGCGUCUAACUGAAGCCUGCUUGCCAGUGGUUUGUAACGUUCAUCCCAGGUUUAAUGUUUAAACCCAGGGGCACCUACACCUUUAUAACUUGUUUCUUGGCCUCUUACUCUCAGCACUCACCUCACGCUCCUCUGUGCCUCUCUCUCUCUCUCUCUCUCUCUCCCCCUCCAUUUCCUGUGUCUUCUCAGGAUGGGCUCUUUGCAGGCAUGGGUCUCUGAGCACAAGCUCGCCAGUGUCGGUAAGCAAAGCAUCUGAUCAUCUGGCUUCUUCGUAAGGAGCAAGAAAAAAUUGGUGAAGUUUUAGGUCUAUGAUGAGCCACUGGCUAAUAUGGAAUCCUGUGUCUUUCAGGAACUCUAUGGGCUUCAGCCUUGGUGGCAUCCAUAGCUUACUCGCGUAAAAGAACGCCACACAAGACCAGCGUCAGGCUGAUCCAUGCUAGGAUGCAUGCGCAAGCCCUGACCCUUGCAGUGCUCUCAGGUGCAGCGCUGAAACAUUACUUGGAGACCAAUUUUGCCAUGGAUGAUGACAAGAAUUAAUCCCUCAGCUGCUCGAUGAUUCCAAGGAACGGCGUCCAUGAAGCGUCUCGCAAUGAUAUCAUGUUGGCUUGUAGCUUUAGCUUGUGGGGAUGGCACAUCAUGCCUAAUUAAAUGUGCAGCGGGCUUAUGGUGGUGAGAAUAUGGACUGCAUCUUGAUGAAAUAAUGAUAUUUGUGAUGAUGCAUGUCUUUUGAAAACUAAAAGUUAUGAUUAUAUGCAAUUUAUUGUUUUGUUAUACGGAACAAAGAAGAAAUUACCUUGUCCUUGUACAGUAGAAUUUCAAAGCCCAUAAUUUUUCUUGACGCUUCGUAUGCAUUUCUCCUGUAAAUAUAA